Molecule: ribosomal RNA, 702 nt
Filed under: Shewanella xiamenensis
Lineage: Bacteria; Pseudomonadati; Pseudomonadota; Gammaproteobacteria; Alteromonadales; Shewanellaceae
Description: bacterial SSU rRNA
Rfam family: Bacterial small subunit ribosomal RNA
Source: RNAcentral
GCAAGUCGAGCGGCAGCACAAGGGAGUUUACUCAUGAGGUGGCGAGCGGCGGACGGGUGAGUAAUGCCUAGGGAUCUGCCCAGUCGAGGGGGAUAACAGUUGGAAACGACUGCUAAUACCGCAUACGCCCUACGGGGGAAAGAGGGGGACUUUCGGGCCUCUCGCGAUUGGAUGAACCUAGGUGGGAUUAGCUAGUUGGUGAGGUAAUGGCUCACCAAGGCGACGAUCCCUAGCUGUUCUGAGAGGAUGAUCAGCCACACUGGGACUGAGACACGGCCCAGACUCCUACGGGAGGCAGCAGUGGGGAAUAUUGCACAAUGGGGGAAACCCUGAUGCAGCCAUGCCGCGUGUGUGAAGAAGGCCUUCGGGUUGUAAAGCACUUUCAGUAGGGAGGAAAGGGUGAGUCUUAAUACGGCUUAUCUGUGACGUUACCUACAGAAGAAGGACCGGCUAACUCCGUGCCAGCAGCCGCGGUAAUACGGAGGGUCCGAGCGUUAAUCGGAAUUACUGGGCGUAAAGCGUGCGCAGGCGGUUUGUUAAGCGAGAUGUGAAAGCCCUGGGCUCAACCUAGGAAUAGCAUUUCGAACUGACAAACUAGAGUCUUGUAGAGGGGGGUAGAAUUCCAGGUGUAGCGGUGAAAUGCGUAGAGAUCUGGAGGAAUACCGGUGGCGAAGGCGGCCCCCUGGACAAAGACUGACGCUC